RNAcentral lists this ribosomal RNA (234 nucleotides) under uncultured bacterium. Its description in RNAcentral is "partial 16S ribosomal RNA". It matches the Rfam family "Bacterial small subunit ribosomal RNA", at positions 102 to 334 of the family's 1533-position model. The record is from RNAcentral.
ACGGGUGAGUAACACGUAUCCAACCUGCCGUCUACUCUUGGACAGCCUUCUGAAAGGAAGAUUAAUCCAGGAUGGCAUCAUGAGUUCACAUGUCCGCAUGAUUAAAGGUAUUUUCCGGUAGACGAUGGGGAUGCGUUCCAUUAGAUAGUAGGCGGGGUAACGGCCCACCUAGUCAACGAUGGAUAGGGGUUCUGAGAGGAAGGUCCCCCACAUUGGAACUGAGACACGGUCCAA